UACGGGGGUGCGAGCGUUGUCCGGAAUCACUGGGCGUAAAGGGUGCGUAGGCGGCCCUGUAAGUCAGUGCUGAAAUACCCCGGCUUAACCGGGGGGUGGCAUUGAUACUGCAGGGCUUGAGUACAGAUGAGGUAGGCGGAAUUGACGGUGUAGCGGUGAAAUGCAUAGAUAUCGUCAAGAACACCGAUAGCGAAGGCAGCUUACUGGGCUGUAACUGACGCUGAUGCACGAAAGUGUGGGGAUCAAACAGG
RNAcentral lists this ribosomal RNA (251 nucleotides) under uncultured bacterium. RNAcentral's name for it is "partial 16S ribosomal RNA". It matches the Rfam family "Bacterial small subunit ribosomal RNA", at positions 524 to 776 of the family's 1533-position model. The record is from RNAcentral.